GGCAAAUGCUGAGCUGAAAUGCACAUUCCUUUCAUUUCAAUUUCAGCUCAUUUCUGGGUUACUUGAGUGCCACAGAUGAAUGGAGGCAGGUCACUUCUGCUUCAAGAUUCCAUCAACCCCCAGAAAAGGUGAAGGGUGUGUUACAAGAGGGGCGUAAGAGCUGAGACCAGUUACUACUGCCCUGAUUGCCUCUCUCAGCCCGGC
Pelobates cultripes (western spadefoot toad) is the source of this 204-nucleotide non-coding RNA. NCBI's taxonomy places the organism in Eukaryota, Metazoa, Chordata, Amphibia, Anura, Pelobatidae. The record is from the annotation of a GenBank genome assembly.